AGUGAACGCUGGCGGUAGGCCUAACACAUGCAAGUCGAACGGCAGCACAGUAAGAGCUUGCUCUUACGGGUGGCGAGUGGCGGACGGGUGAGGAAUACAUCGGAAUCUACUUUUUCGUGGGGGAUAACGUAGGGAAACUUACGCUAAUACCGCAUACGACCUACGGGUGAAAGCAGGGGAUCUUCGGACCUUGCGCGAUUGAAUGAGCCGAUGUCGGAUUAGCUAGUUGGCGGGGUAAAGGCCCACCAAGGCGACGAUCCGUAGCUGGUCUGAGAGGAUGGUCAGCCACACUGGGACUGAGACACGGUCCAGACUCCUACGGGAGGCAGCAGUGGGGAAUAUUGGACAAUGGGCGCAAGCCUGAUCCAGCCAUACCGCGUGGGUGAAGAAGGCCUUCGGGUUGUAAAGCCCUUUUGUUGGGAAAGAGAAGCAGCAGGUUAAUACCCCGCUGUUCUGACGGUACCCAAAGAAUAAGCACCGGCUAACUUCGUG
RNAcentral lists this ribosomal RNA (492 nucleotides) under uncultured bacterium. RNAcentral's name for it is "partial 16S ribosomal RNA". It matches the Rfam family "Bacterial small subunit ribosomal RNA", at positions 29 to 507 of the family's 1533-position model. The record is from RNAcentral.